CGUGGGGAGUGACGCUUUUCGGUAGUGUAAACCCUUUCCGAUCGGGACGAAUGCCUCGCAAGAGGAGUGACGGUACCGGUAGAAGAAGCCCGGCUAACUACGUGC
This 105-nucleotide ribosomal RNA is filed under the name uncultured bacterium. Its description in RNAcentral is "partial 16S ribosomal RNA". The record is from RNAcentral.